This 256-nucleotide ribosomal RNA is filed under the name uncultured bacterium. RNAcentral describes it as "partial 16S ribosomal RNA". It matches the Rfam family "Bacterial small subunit ribosomal RNA", at positions 334 to 604 of the family's 1533-position model. The record is from RNAcentral.
UAGACCUACGGGGGGCAGCAGUGGGGAAUAUUGCACAAUGGGCGAAAGCCUGAUGCAGCAACGCCGCGUGAAGGAAGAAGGGUUUCGGCUCGUAAACUUCUAUUAACAGGGACGAAAGAAAUGACGGUACCUGAAUAAGAAGCCCCGGCUAACUACGUGCCAGCAGCCGCGGUAAUACGUAGGGGGCAAGCGUUAUCCGGAAUUACUGGGUGUAAAGGGUGAGUCGGCGGCAUGGUAAGCCAGAUGUGGAAACCCU